RNAcentral lists this transfer RNA (64 nucleotides) under Glyphocrangon regalis. Its description in RNAcentral is "tRNA-Leu". Lineage: Eukaryota; Metazoa; Arthropoda; Malacostraca; Decapoda; Glyphocrangonidae. The record is from RNAcentral.
AUCACUUUGGCAGAAAUAUGCAUUAGAUUUAGGAUCUAAAUAUAUAAUAUAUUUAUAGGUGAUA